Molecule: long non-coding RNA, 478 nt
Organism: Paramisgurnus dabryanus
Lineage: Eukaryota; Metazoa; Chordata; Actinopteri; Cypriniformes; Cobitidae
Source: RefSeq, a predicted model, not a curated record
UCUAAUACCUGUUCCCUUAUUGCAGAUUUCAAAUAAGAUGAUAGACUGGGAGUGCAGGGUGUAAAAAGAUUCAUCGUUCAAGACUCCACCUCCUCAGACACCACAGACUAGAACAUAGACACUGCUCAAAAAUAAGUCCACUUCCAUCUUGAAGAUUCUGAAGUGCACAUUGAGAAAGAGCCACUGGAGCAAUAUACGGUUGUGCGUUACAGCUCUAAUGGCCAAAUGCAUAGUGACCCAGUGAAUGUCUCUGUUGUUCUUGAGGACGAAUUGGUCACCACCCACAACCAACUUCCAGAGGCGUUUCUUGUCCUGUUUGGAUUCCUGUAUGCUUUUCACAUACAUAUUCCUAAAGGACUUGCAAAAACAUUGGUAUUUGUGCAAAAAACUUUUGCUUGGCAUGGAAGAUGGGAAACUGUCUCCUAGCCUGCAAACCUUAAAGAACGAGUUGAUGUGAAGCAUAACUUGUACUACCUCA